RNAcentral lists this transfer RNA (72 nucleotides) under Bos taurus (domestic cattle). It matches the Rfam family "tRNA". From Rfam's summary of the family: Transfer RNA (tRNA) molecules are approximately 80 nucleotides in length. The record is from Rfam by way of RNAcentral. RNAcentral also lists the same sequence under 5 other names. Lineage: Eukaryota; Metazoa; Chordata; Mammalia; Artiodactyla; Bovidae.
UCCCUGAUAGCUCAGAUGGUAAAGAGUCUGCCUGCAAUGCAGGGGACCCAGGUUUGAUCCCUGGGUGAGGAA